AGGGUAGCCGUAAGCUUGGAUCCCGGGGAUGAUGCCAGCUUGCUGGUGGAUUAGUGGCGAACGGGUGAGUAACACGUGAGUAACCUGCCCUUAACUCUGGGAUAAGCCUGGGAAACUGGGUCUAAUACCGGAUAUGACUCCUCAUCGCAUGGUGGGGGGUGGAAAGCUUUAUUGUGGUUUUGGAUGGACUCGCGGCCUAUCAGCUUGUUGGUGAGGUAAUGGCUCACCAAGGCGACGACGGGUAGCCGGCCUGAGAGGGUGACCGGCCACACUGGGACUGAGACACGGCCCAGACUCCUACGGGAGGCAGCAGUGGGGAAUAUUGCACAAUGGGCGAAAGCCUGAUGCAGCGACGCCGCGUGAGGGAUGACGGCCUUCGGGUUGUAAACCUCUUUCAGUAGGGAAGAAGCGAAAGUGACGGUACCUGCAGAAGAAGCGCCGGCUAACUACGUGCCAGCAGCCGCGGUAAUACGUAGGGCGCAAGCGUUAUCCGGAAUUAUUGGGCGUAAAGAGCUCGUAGGCGGUUUGUCGCGUCUGCCGUGAAAGUCCGGGGCUCAACUCCGGAUCUGCGGUGGGUACGGGCAGACUAGAGUGAUGUAGGGGAGACUGGAAUUCCUGGUGUAGCGGUGAAAUGCGCAGAUAUCAGGAGGAACACCGAUGGCGAAGGCAGGUCUCUGGGCAUUAACUGACGCUGAGGAGCGAAAGCAUGGGGAGCGAACAGGAUUAGAUACCCUGGUAGUCCAUGCCGUAAACGUUGGGCACUAGGUGUGGGGGACAUUCCACGUUUUCCGCGCCGUAGCUAACGCAUUAAGUGCCCCGCCUGGGGAGUACGGCCGCAAGGCUAAAACUCAAAGGAAUUGACGGGGGCCCGCACAAGCGGCGGAGCAUGCGGAUUAAUUCGAUGCAACGCGAAGAACCUUACCAAGGCUUGACAUGAACCGGAAAUACCUGGAAACAGGUGCCCCGCUUGCGGUCGGUUUACAGGUGGUGCAUGGUUGUCGUCAGCUCGUGUCGUGAGAUGUUGGGUUAAGUCCCGCAACGAGCGCAACCCUCGUUCUAUGUUGCCAGCGCGUUAUGGCGGGGACUCAUAGGAGACUGCCGGGGUCAACUCGGAGGAAGGUGGGGACGACGUCAAAUCAUCAUGCCCCUUAUGUCUUGGGCUUCACGCAUGCUACAAUGGCCGGUACAAAGGGUUGCGAUACUGUGAGGUGGAGCUAAUCCCAAAAAGCCGGUCUCAGUUCGGAUUGGGGUCUGCAACUCGACCCCAUGAAGUCGGAGUCGCUAGUAAUCGCAGAUCAGCAACGCUGCGGUGAAUACGUUCCCGGGCCUUGUACACACCGCCCGUCAAGUCACGAAAGUUGUGUAACACCCGAAGCCGGUGGCCUAACUCCCU
RNAcentral lists this ribosomal RNA (1393 nucleotides) under bacterium OC40(2011). RNAcentral's name for it is "bacterial SSU rRNA". It matches the Rfam family "Bacterial small subunit ribosomal RNA". The record is from RNAcentral.